Molecule: ribosomal RNA, 314 nt
Filed under: uncultured eukaryote
Lineage: Eukaryota
Description: partial 18S ribosomal RNA
Rfam family: Eukaryotic small subunit ribosomal RNA
Source: RNAcentral
CCCCUAGAUGUUCUGGGCCGCACGCGCGCUACACUGAACAGUUCAACAAGUCUUAACCUUGGCCGAUAGGUCUGGGUAAUCUUUGAACGCUGUUCGUGAUUGGGAUAGACCUUUGCAAUUUUUGGUCUUCAACGAGGAAUUCCUAGUAAACGCAAGUCAUCAACUUGCAUUGAUUACGUCCCUGCCCUUUGUACACACCGCCCGUCGCACCUACCGAUUGAAUGGUCCGGUGAAGCCUCCGGAUUGGCGCGCACCUCGGUGCCGCCGAGAAGUUGGCUAAACCUUACCAUUUAGAGGAAGGUGAAGUCGUAACA